UACAGAGGUCCCAAGCGUUGUUCGGAUUCACUGGGCGUAAAGGGUGCGUAGGUGGUGAGGUAAGUCGGAUGUGAAAUCUCCGAGCUCAACUCGGAAAUUGCAUUGGAAACUACCUUGCUAGAGGGUUGGAGGGGGGACUGGAAUACUUGGUGUAGCAGUGAAAUGCGUAGAUAUCAAGUGGAACACCAGUGGCGAAGGCGAGUCCCUGGACAACUCCUGACACUGAGGCACGAAAGCUAGGGGAGCAAACAGG
Molecule: ribosomal RNA, 253 nt
Filed under: uncultured bacterium
Lineage: Bacteria
Description: partial 16S ribosomal RNA
Rfam family: Bacterial small subunit ribosomal RNA
Source: RNAcentral